RNAcentral lists this ribosomal RNA (253 nucleotides) under uncultured bacterium. Its description in RNAcentral is "partial 16S ribosomal RNA". It matches the Rfam family "Bacterial small subunit ribosomal RNA", at positions 524 to 776 of the family's 1533-position model. The record is from RNAcentral.
UACAGAGGGUGCGAGCGUUAAUCGGAAUUACUGGGCGUAAAGCGCGCGUAGGCGGCUUUGCAAGUCGGGUGUGAAAUCCCCAGGCUUAACCUGGGAACUGCAUUCGAGACUGCAUUGCUAGAGUAUGGAAGAGGGAAGUGGAAUUUCCGGUGUAGCGGUGAAAUGCGUAGAUAUCGGAAGGAACAUCAGUGGCGAAAGCGACUUCCUGGACCAAUACUGACGCUCAUGUGCGAAAGCGUGGGGAGCAAACAGG